UACGUAAGCGUUGAUCCAGAGAUUUCCGAAUGGGGGAACCCACUAUCUUUAGUCGGAUAGUAUCCUUACGUGAAUACAUAGCGUGAGGAAGGCAGACCCAGGGAACUGAAACAUCUAAGUACCUGGAGGAAGAGAAAGAAAAAUCGAUUUCCUGAGUAGCGGCGAGCGAAACGGAAAGAGCCCAAACCAAGAAGCUUGCUUCUU
Molecule: ribosomal RNA, 204 nt
Filed under: Listeria monocytogenes
Lineage: Bacteria; Bacillati; Bacillota; Bacilli; Caryophanales; Listeriaceae
Description: partial 23S ribosomal RNA
Rfam family: Bacterial large subunit ribosomal RNA
Source: RNAcentral